CUUCUGAAGGCUGGGUCAUACUGAAGGUUCCUUUUUAACCAAACUUCAAGGGAUGAAAACGAAGAUAAGCACGAAGAAUGUGAGGGCAGAAAAAAAGAACGCUUAGAGGAUUGGUUUGGAGGAUGCAGUUGUCUGGAC
Strigops habroptila (Kakapo) is the source of this 138-nucleotide long non-coding RNA. RefSeq lists it as uncharacterized. Lineage: Eukaryota; Metazoa; Chordata; Aves; Psittaciformes; Psittacidae. The record is from RefSeq and is a predicted model, not a curated record. The transcript is spliced from 3 exons.